CACCGCGGUUAUACGAGGAGCCCAAGUUGAUAGCCUCCGGCGUAAAGCGUGGUUAAGAUAAAAUUAAAGUAAAGCAGAACGCAAACCAAGCUGUUAUACGCAUUUGAAAGUAGAAGCCCAAUUACGAAAGUAGCUUUAUACAACUGACCCCACGAAAGCCAGGGCA
This 166-nucleotide ribosomal RNA is filed under the name Pseudanthias squamipinnis (sea goldie). Its description in RNAcentral is "partial 12S ribosomal RNA". The record is from RNAcentral. Lineage: Eukaryota; Metazoa; Chordata; Actinopteri; Perciformes; Anthiadidae.